UGCAGUCGACGAUGAACCUGGAGCUUGCUCUGGGGGAUUAGUGGCGAACGGGUGAGUAACACGUGAGCAACCUGCCCCUCACUCUGGGAUAAGCGCUGGAAACGGCGUCUAAUACUGGAUACGAGUUGGAGCCGCAUGGUUACCAACUGGAAAGAUUUUUUGGUGGGGGAUGGGCUCGCGGCCUAUCAGCUUGUUGGUGAGGUAAUGGCUCACCAAGGCGUCGACGGGUAGCCGGCCUGAGAGGGUGACCGGCCACACUGGGACUGAGACACGGCCCAGACUCCUACGGGAGGCAGCAGUGGGGAAUAUUGCACAAUGGGCGGAAGCCUGAUGCAGCAACGCCGCGUGAGGGAUGACGGCCUUCGGGUUGUAAACCUCUUUUAGCAGGGAAGAAGCGAAAGUGACGGUACCUGCAGAAAAAGCACCGGCUAACUACGUGCCAGCAGCCGCGGUAAUACGUAGGGUGCAAGCGUUAUCCGGAAUUAUUGGGCGUAAAGAGCUCGUAGGCGGUUUGUCGCGUCUGCUGUGAAAUCCCGAGGCUCAACCUCGGGCCUGCAGUGGGUACGGGCAGACUAGAGUGCGGUAGGGGAGAUUGGAAUUCCUGGUGUAGCGGUGGAAUGCG
This 622-nucleotide ribosomal RNA is filed under the name Microbacterium sp. 8M. RNAcentral describes it as "bacterial SSU rRNA". It matches the Rfam family "Bacterial small subunit ribosomal RNA", at positions 56 to 690 of the family's 1533-position model. The record is from RNAcentral. Lineage: Bacteria; Bacillati; Actinomycetota; Actinomycetes; Micrococcales; Microbacteriaceae.